Molecule: ribosomal RNA, 510 nt
Filed under: uncultured bacterium
Lineage: Bacteria
Description: partial 16S ribosomal RNA
Rfam family: Bacterial small subunit ribosomal RNA
Source: RNAcentral
GACGAACGCUGGCGGCGUGCUUAACACAUGCAAGUCGAACGAAGAGCGAUGGAAGCUUGCUUCUAUCAAUCUUAGUGGCGAACGGGUGAGUAACGCGUAAUCAACCUGCCCUUCAGAGGGGGACAACAGUUGGAAACGACUGCUAAUACCGCAUACGAUCUAAUCUCGGCAUCGAGGAUAGAUGAAAGGUGGCCUCUACAUGUAAGCUAUCACUGAAGGAGGGGAUUGCGUCUGAUUAGCUAGUUGGAGGGGUAACGGCCCACCAAGGCGAUGAUCAGUAGCCGGUCUGAGAGGAUGAACGGCCACAUUGGGACUGAGACACGGCCCAGACUCCUACGGGAGGCAGCAGUGGGGAAUCUUCCGCAAUGGACGAAAGUCUGACGGAGCAACGCCGCGUGAGUGAUGACGGCCUUCGGGUUGUAAAGCUCUGUUAAUCGGGACGAAAGGCCUUCUUGCGAAUAGUGAGAAGGAUUGACGGUACCGGGAUAGAAAGCCACGGCUAACUACGUG